GUGAGGAAUAUUGCGCAAUGGAGGCAACUCUGACGCAGCCAUGCCGCGUGCAGGAAGAAGGCGCUACGCGUUGUAAACUGCUUUUAACCGGGAAGAAACCCCAGGACGUGUCCUGGGUUGACGGUACCGGAGGAAUAAGCACCGGCUAACUUCGUGCCAGCAGCCGCGGUAAUACGAAGGGUGCAAGCGUUAUCCGGAUUCAUGGGGUUUAAAGGGUGCGUAGGCGGAGCGUUAAGUCAGUGGUGAAAUCCUGCAGCUUAACUGUAGACUUGCCAUUGAUACUGGCGCUCUUGAGUGCGCUUGAAGUGGGCGGAAUGUGCCGUGUAGCGGUGAAAUGCUUAGAUAUGGCACAGAACACCAAUUGCGAAGGCAGCUCACUAAGGCGAUACUGACGCUGAGGCACGAAAGCGUGGGGAUCGAACAGGAUUAGAUACCCCUGUAGUCC
Molecule: ribosomal RNA, 445 nt
Filed under: uncultured bacterium
Lineage: Bacteria
Description: partial 16S ribosomal RNA
Rfam family: Bacterial small subunit ribosomal RNA
Source: RNAcentral